RNAcentral lists this ribosomal RNA (253 nucleotides) under uncultured bacterium. RNAcentral's name for it is "partial 16S ribosomal RNA". It matches the Rfam family "Bacterial small subunit ribosomal RNA", at positions 524 to 776 of the family's 1533-position model. The record is from RNAcentral.
UACAGGGGGUGCAAACGUUGCUCGGAAUUAUUGGGCGUAAAGCGCGCGUAGGCGGCCACUUAAGUCGGAUGUGAAAGCCCCUGGCUCAACUGGGGAAGUGCACCCGAAACUGAGCGGCUUGAAUGCAAAAGAGGGUCGCGGAAUUCCCGGUGUAGAGGUGAAAUUCGUAGAUAUCGGGAGGAACACCAGUGGCGAAGGCGGCGAUCUGGGAAGAUACUGACGCUGAGGUGCGAAAGCGUGGGGAGCAAACAGG